AUUCGACCUCAAAUCAGGUAGGACUACCCGCUGAACUUAAGCAUAUCAAUAAGCGGAGGAAAAGAAACCAACAGGGAUU
This 79-nucleotide ribosomal RNA is filed under the name Lodderomyces parapsilosis. RNAcentral's name for it is "Candida parapsilosis partial 28S ribosomal RNA". It matches the Rfam family "Eukaryotic large subunit ribosomal RNA", at positions 1 to 76 of the family's 3401-position model. The record is from RNAcentral. Lineage: Eukaryota; Fungi; Ascomycota; Pichiomycetes; Serinales; Debaryomycetaceae.